Peromyscus eremicus (cactus mouse) is the source of this 1199-nucleotide long non-coding RNA. RefSeq lists it as uncharacterized. Lineage: Eukaryota; Metazoa; Chordata; Mammalia; Rodentia; Cricetidae. The record is from RefSeq and is a predicted model, not a curated record. The transcript is spliced from 2 exons.
AAAUGGAGACCAAGACUCAAAAUGCCUGAAUCUCAUGGAGGACUUCUCACUCACAGCACUGCAGAAGUCAGAUGUGCUGAAAGUCAUGGACCUAAACAGUGGCACUCCCUGAGUUCCAUUGGACUACAUCCUAUGGUUGCUGUGCAGCCCAAGAUACAAAGUUACAGGAUCUAAGGGCCCGCUCAUCCAAAGAACCAAACACAGAAGCUGUUGCCCCUUAUACAAAAGAAGCCAAAAGAACUCCCACGCCAUGGUUCAACCACACCUUCAUACUCUGCUGGUUCUCAAUCACGAUGCCACUGUCCUGGGAAAGCUGGAGGAAGGGCUGGAGCCCAAACUGGAAGUUGUACCCAGAACUUCCUUAUGGUAAACGUCUGAGAACAAAGUGUAAUAUGUGGAUCAGUCUGAAUGGGGAGAAAACAAAGCAGAGUUCCUGGAAGUAUAUGGAAAACAACUGAGAAGAGCAUGGUGAUUUUGGAAGCAAACUGCCUAUGGCUCUGUGACUACUCGGUGUUGGUAAGCCCACGCUGUUGCCCUUUCUCAUUUGUUAGGUGGAGGCAACCAUAGCACUUGCUUAUGAGAACUCUAUGAGAAACCAAUGAGUCCAUGACUACCAUACUUGGGGAAGGCCAUGGUAUGUUUACUCUACCGUGAGCACCAGCUCUACUGUGUAUGGAAUGACUGGUCCCUGAGGAGCCAACCUCUGGAUAAGUGGUAGAGACACUGAGUUAGAACACCGUAGUCCUUACCCCAGCUCUCGCUCAAUGGGUGAAAGGCAUUGGUCACAUGCUCCUUCCCUUUGGACACCAGGGCCUCCCAACCCCUUAUACUGAGAAAGUUAAUUAGAAACACCUAGUUCCAUCUGGUAUAUCGCAUAACGUAUUUUAGAAGUAAAGGCUUAAUUUUCAGAAGAUAUCAAAAUUGUCAAGGACUCUCUGCAGUAUUUAAUUCUAAUAGUUAACAGGAUCCACUGAUCAUUCUCCUUUGCUCUGACAUCGCACAAAGCAGAUCAGGCUGGCAGUUCACUUUCCAACCCACUGGACUGUGAAAGCUCACUCCCCUGAACACCUGAAAGGAUGAAAACAGAGAAGGUGGGGUUGCUUCCUGGUCCGUUGAUGAUCUUGUCACAAUGUUAGUUAAUGUUCUAUGACAGAUGAGCAAGCUGCCUCUGGCCUCUUUGAUAAAUUCACUACUUGCAU